This 519-nucleotide ribosomal RNA is filed under the name Dothichiza pithyophila. Its description in RNAcentral is "partial large subunit ribosomal RNA". It matches the Rfam family "Eukaryotic large subunit ribosomal RNA", at positions 79 to 606 of the family's 3401-position model. The record is from RNAcentral. Lineage: Eukaryota; Fungi; Ascomycota; Dothideomycetes; Dothideales; Dothioraceae.
CCUAGUAACGGCGAGUGAGCGGCACAGCUCAAAUUUGAAAGCUAGCCUUCGGGUUCGCAUUGUAAUUUGUAGAGGAUGCUUUGGGGUGGCCGCCUGUCUAAGUUCCUUGGAACAGGACGUCAUAGAGGGUGAGAAUCCCGUAUGUGACAGGAAAUGGCGCCCUAUGUAAAGCUCCUUCGACGAGUCGAGUUGUUUGGGAAUGCAGCUCUAAAUGGGAGGUAAAUUUCUUCUAAAGCUAAAUACCGGCGAGAGACCGAUAGCGCACAAGUAGAGUGAUCGAAAGAUGAAAAGCACUUUGGAAAGAGAGUUAAAAAGCACGUGAAAUUGUUGAAAGGGAAGCGCUUGCAAUCAGACUUGUCUUUAACCGUUCGGCCGGUCUUCUGACCGGUUUACUCGGUAAUCGACAGGCCAGCAUCAGUUUCGGCGGUCGGAUAAAGGCCUUGGGAAUGUGGCUCUGCCUUCGGGUAGAGUGUUAUAGCCCAGGGUGUAAUACGGCCAGCCGGGACUGAGGUCCGCGAU